CGCUUUAUGACCCGGUUGGCCGCAGCGGA
RNAcentral lists this small RNA (29 nucleotides) under Bombyx mori (domestic silkworm). RNAcentral describes it as "ovarian small RNA-14426". The record is from RNAcentral. Lineage: Eukaryota; Metazoa; Arthropoda; Insecta; Lepidoptera; Bombycidae.